Long non-coding RNA from Panicum virgatum (switchgrass), 860 nucleotides. RefSeq lists it as uncharacterized. The transcript is spliced from 2 exons. The record is from RefSeq and is a predicted model, not a curated record. Lineage: Eukaryota; Viridiplantae; Streptophyta; Magnoliopsida; Poales; Poaceae.
UCGUCUUCGUCUUCCACCUCGGUUCGGAUAGGCGCCGAGACCGCGACGCUUUCUUUCUCCAUCCCCUCCAACUCCAAGCAGCAGAUAGCCUUCCGUAGCUACUCCUCAUUCCUGCUUUCUCGUUCCUUGGCGAGACUGGCUUGCGAGUAAUGCAGCUCCGAACUUGUUUUGUUGGUGGUCAUCUAACCAUGCUCCGAUCCGGUGCAUGGAUCAUGGAUUGCGGUCAUGACCCAUGACCGUCAUGGACUGAUCAUGGUCUUGCGUGCGCGGUUAGAUGACCAUCAGCAAACAAGUUCAUGAGGCAUGCAGAAGCAAACUGCUCCCUACCGAUCAGAGAUUACCACCGCACCGCCGGCCACGACGACCUCGCCGAAUGUAGAAGCUUCACGAGGAGGCAUGGCGUGCUUCGAAAGUUCUUCCAAGAAGUUGAAGAAGUGAGAGUGCGUGUUUCGUGGAGAUCCGAGUGCGAUUGUUCUGUCGCUUGGACGCCCUUCACUCCGUGGAAAAAAUGUUCAUGCUUGCUCAGUUGCUAAAAAAAAAAAAUUGUUCAUCGCUUCAUCGUCGUCGUCUCUAUUCGUCAUCAUCAUUUGAGAUAUAGCUUCUGAAUCCCCCAGUUACUCUCAGAGCUAUUUGAUUCUCCUACAUGAUUUGGUGACGAGCUGAUCAUGAGCAUAUGCCUCAUGCCUAUGUCAGAGGUUCCGCGUUCUGUGUUGUAACAAGAUCUGGUCAAGUACAGAUGCAGCGUGUGUUGCUGCGCCUUUAGGCCUUGUUUAUUUCUUUUUUUUUGUUGGCCAAUUUUUUUUAAUCGGAAUCUUACUAUUUCGGAGUACUAAAUAAAAUCUAUAUUUCGGAGUACUAAA